GAACGCUAGCGGCAGGCCUAACACAUGCAAGUCGAGGGAGAAGCCCUUUCGGGGGCAGAAACCGGCGCACGGGUGCGUAACGCGUAUGCAACCUACCUUUCACAGGGGGAUAGCCCGAAGAAAUUUGGAUUAAUACCCCAUAAUAUUAUUGGAUGGCAUCAUUUGAUAAUUAAAACUGCGGUGGUGAAAGAUGGGCAUGCGUCCUAUUAGCUAGUUGGAGUGGUAACGGCACCCCAAGGCUACGAUAGGUAGGGGUCCUGAGAGGGAGAUCCCCCACACUGGUACUGAGACAGGGACCAGACUCCUACGGGAGGCAGCAGUGAGGAAUAUUGGUCAAUGGUCGGAAGACUGAACCAGCCAUGCCGCGUGCAGGAAGAAUGCCUUAUGGGUUGUAAACUGCUUUUAUAUGGGAAGAAUAAGGCGUACGUGUACGUUGAUGACGGUACCAUAUGAAUAAGCAUCGGCUAACUCCGUGCCAGCAGCCGCGGUAAUACGGAGGAUGCGAGCGUUAUUCGGAAUCAUUGGGUUUAAAGGGUCUGUAGGCGGGCUAUUAAGUCAGGGGUGAAAGGUUUCAGCUUAACUGAGAAAUUGCCUUUGAUACUGGUAGUCUUGAAUAUCUGUGAAGUUCUUGGAAUGUGUAGUGUAGCGGUGAAAUGCUUAGAUAUUACACAGAACACCGAUUGCGAAGGCAGGGGACUAACAGACAAUUGACGCUGAGAGACGAAAGCGUGGGGAGCGAACAGGAUUAGAUACCCUGGUAGUCCACGCUGUAAACGAUGGAUACUAGCUGUUUGGCGCAAGCUGAGUGGCUAAGCGAAAGUGAUAAGUAUCCCACCUGGG
RNAcentral lists this ribosomal RNA (840 nucleotides) under uncultured Bacteroidota bacterium. RNAcentral describes it as "bacterial SSU rRNA". It matches the Rfam family "Bacterial small subunit ribosomal RNA", at positions 31 to 877 of the family's 1533-position model. The record is from RNAcentral. Lineage: Bacteria; Pseudomonadati; Bacteroidota.